CUACGGGUGGCAGCAGUAGGGAAUCUUCGGCAAUGGACGGAAGUCUGACCGAGCAACGCCGCGUGAGUGAAGAAGGUUUUCGGAUCGUAAGGCUCUGUUGUAAGAGAAGAACGAGUGUGAGAGUGGAAAGUUCACACUGUGACGGUAUCUUACCAGAAAGGGACGGCUAACUACGUGCCAGCAGCCGCGGUAAUACGUAGGUCCCGAGCGUUGUCCGGAUUUAUUGGGCGUAAAGCGAGCGCAGGCGGUUAGAUAAGUCUGAAGUUAAAGGCUGGGGCUUAACCAUAGUACGCUUUGGAAACUGUUUAACUUGAGUGCAGAAGGGGAGAGUGGAAUUCCAUGUGUAGCGGUGAAAUGCGUAGAUAUAUGGAGGAACACCGGUGGCGAAAGCGGCUCUCUGGUCUGUAACUGACGCUGAGGCUCGAAAGCGUGGGGAGCAAACAGGAUUAGAUACCCCGGUAGUC
RNAcentral lists this ribosomal RNA (464 nucleotides) under uncultured bacterium. RNAcentral describes it as "partial 16S ribosomal RNA". It matches the Rfam family "Bacterial small subunit ribosomal RNA", at positions 339 to 795 of the family's 1533-position model. The record is from RNAcentral.